AAUGCUUUUAGCUCUAUGUAUUUCAGCGGAGGUUGUUUAUUAAACGAGAUAUUGUUCACAUGUAAUCAUUUUUUUGUUACUUUCAUAUGUGAUAUUUUGAUUUCUUUUUUCCUUUUAGGUACAUUCUUUAUUUUUCUUCUUUUUUGAGUACAUUCUUUACUCUGAUAUGCUGUGCAUUUAUAUUUAAUCUAUUCUGAGUGCUAAUAUCUAGUGGAAUACAUAGUCUUUAUUAAAUUAUAAAUGUUUGUCAUAAAAUAACA
This 260-nucleotide long non-coding RNA is filed under the name Oryza brachyantha (malo sina). RNAcentral describes it as "long non-coding RNA (OBRA_LNC002069)". Lineage: Eukaryota; Viridiplantae; Streptophyta; Magnoliopsida; Poales; Poaceae. The record is from RNAcentral.